UAAAUUGGUUAGUCUCUAAGGUGCCACAAGUCCUCCUUUUCUUUUUGCGGAUACAGACUAACACGGCUGUUACUCUGACUCCUAGUAUCUGUUACCUUGAGUUGAGCCAGUGCUUAUUGGCUCAGCAAAUACCAAAGACGCUAAGGAGCUGCUAUGGGGAACCGGAGAUCUGAUGCAAAGGUAAAAACUAGUUCUACCAUCAUAUAAAAAUACUCUCCACCAGCUUUCUCAGAGAGAGAUUAACCUACGCUAACGUGGUGACCAUUAGCCUCCGGCACAGAGGCUGAGUUUGAUCAGCUCAGGCAGCUGGCCCUGGUGGUGUGCACAGAAAAGUGAACGGUUACUGCAGGUUUUCGUAAACAAGGCCAGUUCAGUGGAGGGUGAUGGGGUGUACCAACCCCACCCGGGGCCAGAAGGGGUUAGUGAGAGCCUGCAGGAGCUCAAUCAACCCUGCCCUGCUACACCUGCCAUGGUGUCAAGCCUGGAGGGAGGCAUUAAAGGGCUGAACCUGGUGCAGGUGUGGCUGGCUAUGAGGGAGAGCAGGUGCUUGGCUCUCACUCAAGCAGGGAAGCUUGGCCGGAGCCAGGAGCUGAGGUGACCUGCUGGCAGACAGGGUCUCCCUGAAGGUAGUUAGGCCUGCAACAGGGAGCCCAAGGCAAUUGGGAAGGGAAGUGGCAGGGAGUGAGUCUGCCCAGGGCUGCAUGCUGGGUCAGAGACUACCCUUCCAGAGAGAGAGAACUUCCCUCCUGCAGAAUCAGCUGGCCAGCAGGAAGCUCUGCAGGGAGCCUGGGGAAGAGGCUUGGAGGGAGUGGCCCUGAUACACCAAGAGUCUGGGAAAAGGCUGUGAGAGAGGCCCAAGACACAGCAACAUAGGAAGAGAUUCCACAGAGACAGCAAGAGGUCUGCGUAGUCAGGCCUUGGCUGCUGAUUCAAGGGUCCCUAUCCGCCCACUAAGUAAGGUGGAGCAGAAACCCCCCAACAAGGGGGGAGGACUGAUGAAGUCCCCUGAUGCUACGUGUAAGGACUAGUGAAACUGGAGUCAGACCCAAAGCCCAUUGCGAGGUCGGUGGACUGCUUGUCGGACCAUUGGUUUACCGUGGAAGGAGUGGGACUAUGCGUGACCAGCCAGAGGGCCGAGCCGCAAGAAGAAGCAGACCAGGGCCCCAGUGCCUUCAGCAAGGGAUGCAGAAGGAGAGCCUGUGUCCCAUGAGCAGCUCCCUGGGGCUGGGCUGGCUGGCCUGCAAACGAGCCUGCAGAGAUGUUCCCUUCUGCUUGGAACGUACUGCAGAGCAGCAGCUACGCAGGAGAGGAGAGCAAAUCCAGAUUCUGAAUCCACUGGAUUGAUCAAGAACGUUAAAUAAGAGAACACACAAAGCACCAAGAGAAUGCAACCAUGCUUUGUUGAGGCCAGCCAAACUCCAAAUGCCCUCAUUUUACACAUAAAGCAUGGAGACUGAAGAUGAAAAGAGGAGCACAGUAUACAAGGUCUUAUACACAGUAGCUGUUUUGUAAGGCAACAGUUCAUAACCCUGGCUGUAAAGCUCCCUCAGUACUGCUUGGCCAUUAUAUUACUGUACCCUUAGGAAGUAAGAAACCGAUACCACUGAUGCCAUUUUAUUUUAAGCUUGUGAGGCGACAUUACUGAACUGGAGCCUGUUGCCAGAUGCAUGCAGAUUUUUUUAGAUCAGUGACUAAUGAGGUCAAUGGAAUAAUUAAUGCAACAUGCAUCUUUCCUUUGUGCUGGAUUCUGAAGUCAAGGGAAGCUGAUGGAGAUCAGCACAUACAGUGUGCUCAGCAUAUUUCAGGAUACAUCUCACUAGAAAAUAUCAGAAUUGUGCAGAGGACAACCAGGCCCCAAAAAGGCAUUUUUAAAAUCUUUGCAAAAUGGACAGUCUCAAAUUACUGGCUCUGGCUGUAAUUCACUAUGUAAUAUACUCUGUAAUAUGGAACCAGGCAGCCUGGCUUCCAGGCCCUCAAGCUAAACAAUCUUAACAGCUAUGCUGUCCUAUCUGUGCCCAGAAAAGAAACACUUGAAAAUCGUGUCAUUGGGUUAGGAGGCCUAAAAAUAAGCAAAGAAACCCUACUGGCAGAAAGCAGCACCUUCUGUUUGUCCUGCUUGCAUUCACCACUGUCCUUUCUUUGCCACGUGCAGACUAAAAAAGUUAUUUAUUUUCUCCUUAAAUAGAACAUUUCAAGUUACGAGCAGUAUUGCCUGGGCAGCAAGCAAUACAGAUAGAACUAUUUAUAAUAAAAAUAAAGUAAGAGUUUCAGGAAACCCAGUAACUUUGAAACUGUGUGUAGUUAAUAUCUCUUGAACUCUUCGAGGCAACAGGUCUUGCCCCAGUGUUGAGUCCAAUCAAAAUGACCACAGAUCUGAGAGGCUGAGGCAGCACUGGAAUAUCAAGGAAAUGCAUAUUGUCUCUUACAAAGAGCCACCAAGCAGAAGUUGUUACACUGGGAAAAACUAAACUACGGUCCUGUUAAUGGGACAAAAAGAACCAAAACGGCAAUGAACUGUUUAUCAUAUAAAAAAUUAAAUAAAAAGACAAAUACAACAUUCAUCAACAUUGCUGUCAGUCAGUUAAGCUAAAGUGGUAUAGAUUUGUUUGCUAAGAGGAUAUGAGGGGUAAUUAUUUUUCAUUCCAAGAACCUGGAACAAACUGACAUCCUGUAGUUCCAUAGACAGCCAAGAGUGAGGUUCUCCAGAGCCAGAAAGAAAAAUGAGUAAGUCACCCAUCAUAUUACAAAGAUACGAUUUUAUUCUACGGGAAUAUUUCUGUAACUUCUAUCCAGGGAAAAGCAGAAAUUUUUGUUUAAAAACAAACCUAACAGGAUGUCUUGACUGUUUCCCUUGCUUAUUCAUUGAAAAAAUUUCACACAACUCCCUAAUAGAAAGGGGGGGGAAAAAACAACCUGACAAAGACAUUAUAGCUGCCCUCAUGAGCAAUGUCCAAGAAUUACAAUAAUUCAUGGAUAUCUCCUGUGAUGUGAGGUUCUGGGUAGACCUGCAUGCAACUGAGACACUUUUGUUCUGUUUUUUCGGGGCAAUGGGGUUGUGGGUUUUUGUUUUUUCCAACCAUACAGUAUCUGUUGUCGUCAGUUAAAGGCAUGGGGAUAUUUUUUCUUCUUGAAAAAACAUCAGCUGUCCGAACACAAACUGUGUGUUUGCUAUCUACCUACUUUUAAUAUUACUAUAGGGAGAAGGUUAGUAUUUAAACACUGUAAAAUUAAUGUAAUUGAGAUCAUUAAGCCUCCAAGUCUCUGGGUAGUUUAUUGGUAGGGUAAUAACGGCCAGGGUAUUUUCCCCCACAGCUUUAGGACAAGAUGUGAAAUAAACAGUCUCCCAUCAGAAAUGACAGACACAGAUGGACUUGGAUCAUACAGAAUCAGGGGCAGGUUUACUUUUCACACAGUUUUCUGUAUUAAAAAAUACAUCAGUGAAAUCCGUUACAGGCAGGGACAGGACUACCGAGUACACAACGUCAAUAGACUACUUUCCAAUUUUAUUGUUUAAAUUACCUUUGUUACUGCUAAAAGUAAAGAAAAUUAAAAAAACAAAUUUAAUUCAAGGCUGUUGAUUUUCAACUCCUGAAACUGCAGUGAGAGGGUCAGAUAUCAAAACCCCUGCUACAGAAGUUGGGCAACUGGCUGCAACUACUGAUUUAAAAAAAAAAAAAAAAAAAAAAAGUACAAUUCUCUUUAAAAAUAGUCUUGUAUUUAUGACCUGUCGUCCUCAGAAAUGAGCAUCUUAAGCUUAAGAAAAUGGAGAGACAGAUGUUAUCUAAUCAGUGUCCUGUCCUCUGGAUACAGUAUGGGAGAUUCCCCUUUUAAAAGAUACAGUAACAGCCAAGCCAUUGAAAAAAAUAUUUCAAUUUCCAACACUAUCACUAAAUUUCUUUGGGUGGGGUGGGGUAAAAAAACACACAAGGUACUUUUCUACCACAGUUCUGUUGUCAAAAGUAAUACUGCACAUGUUGCAAGGGUGGAAAGAGUAUCUUCACUUUGAAAUGACAAGGCCCUCCAGACUUGCACGGUAUAAAAACAAAGAAUUAGGGGGGAAUGGGAGAAAAAGGGAAGGAAAGCUGCCGUAUGACAAAAAAAAAAAAACCCAAACCAAAACAACUCCCUCCAAAACAACUAUUUUUGCGCACCACAGCAUUUGCUAGAUUACAUCAACAGAUUGCAGAGGCUAUUCAGGGGAUUUUCUGCACAUAGCCCUAGACUCUCGCUCUCCUAUAUGUAUUCCAGAGAUUUUUUGUCCCAUAACGUGAUUGCUCUGAUGCUUGACUUACAGCAUCUCCCGCACAUCAGAGAUCCAACAGAGUCGUAGUUACUAGCAUGGACUAAGAGCUAGACUCUGGGGUCAUGUGACUGUUUGAACGCAGCCCAGGUAGUCGUCCACUAGGGUAGUAAUCUGGCAGAUAUAACAUUGACUUCUGGCUUAAUAUCUUUCUUAAUCUUUGAUCCCAGUAAAAAAUAAAAUAAAACUAAAAAAGUGUGUGUAUACAUAACGGAAGGUGUCUAUUUGUCUAGACCUCACUGCACUUUGUCUCCUGUCCACAUGGAGAUCUCUAGGAUCUCCACAGGCUCUUUGGCAGCAAUGGCUGCCAGCCAUUGGGCUGCAAAGUCAUGUGAGCCACAGUCUAGUUCUCUAUGCCCAUGGUUACUAUGGUAGAAUUUAUACAACAGUUUGCUUAAAAAUAUUUCACAAUUUUGUUUUAAUCCCAAACAAAUGAAGGAUUUAUGCACCGCUUGAACAGGUUAAUUAAUCUUGAGUUUGUUUAGAGGAUUUAUCACUGCAUUGGACACGGGCGUUUCUUGCAGCUUAAAGUAGUUUGCUUCCUUCUGAUUCCAGUUUGCACAUCCAUUGUGGUUCAAAAUAUGCCUGUGUAGUGAUGUUAACUUGGCUUAUUUGAUACACAACGUUUUCUGAAGGCUGGAUGUGUUCACAGUUUGGUACUUGCAACGGGUAUUGAAAGGAAAAUACCCCACUUCAGUUAGUCUGACAAUUCAAUAUCAGAGUCCUCUGAUCUGACUUUGGCAAGUUCUUCGUGUACCUCCCUCACCAUAAGAAUACGUGUUAACAUGAUGUCCAAGGUCCCGGGGUCUAUUGGCAACGUGGAGUACCACAUAGGGCUAUUAGGUACACAAGACCGCUCAGGUUGAAGGUAAAACACAUCACUUCUCUGCUUCACGCUUUCAGAACUGUUAGUGUAAAGAAAGGAAGACUGUAUAUCAGAAGGCAGCUUUAUCAAUCCUGUUUACAACACAGUUCAAGACACAAAGGGAAAGUAUCUCAGCCCUAUUACCUGAUGUUACCUUGAGACGGAAUCACUACAAUUUAAACAGUAAAAUUUGGAUCUCCAUUCUAGUGACUCAAUCUCCGCCCUUCACUGCAGUGAGCUGACAAUCCGUCUCCAGUUUAAAGGGCAUUAGCUGUUUAUAGAACCAAACAGAAUAGCUGCGUCUCCUUAUGGAGCUGGUUCUUCAGUUGCAGUUUCAUCCCAUUACAUGAUAUCACCGUCUUAACAUAAUUAACGUUCAAUCUCUGAAUAAAACUGGUUCUCGUGUUCUAGGCAACAUGGGAGCUCCUGUAAGUAUAUGCAGACUAACUGCAUUACUGAUAUUUCCCAGGACACUGGAUAACUUUUGAAGCCUUCUUUGGGAUACUGAGGGUACCAGAGCCUAGCCUGCCUGUUAGUGAUAGCAGAAUGGUGAACCCAUUCACUUGAAAGACUGGCCUUCAGAAUCGGAGAGUGCCUUGCAGUCUUGCCUAGCAAGAAGAGUAAAGCCCUCAGCAGAAAGGAUUCUGCUCCCUGCUGGGCUUUACAAUUGUCACAUUAAAAUCCAGAAAGUGAAAGAGGCUUUUCACUGCCACUUCUGCAGAGGCUGAACUAUGAUGUCAUAUGAGGUGGUGCAGCAAAUGUGUGAUAGCUCAGAAUGACACCUUCUGACAGUAUGCGAGUGAACACAAGGAAUGUGCGAAAGGAGAAGGGAGUGGAGAGGGUUGCUGGACAUAGCUUUGCCUGAGCAGGGCUAUUUUGCACUAAUUUGGCUGUGUGUGUGUGUUUCAAAUAAUGAUUUACAGGGCUAUUAGCGGGCACUAAUGAGAUGUCGCUCUCUGGCAUGUAUGUUCUUUUGAGAGAGAAUAAUACUGAACUCCAUUGCUCAAUGAUCUUAAGUGGAGAGUGGGGGAGAGACUGAAUGAUUUAUAUGUUCAUCCUUGUUCUGCAGCUUCCUUUGUGACUCCUGGAGUAAAGUUAAUCUCAUCUUUCAGCAAGUAAAUGUCAGCAUCUCUAGUUUACUUCAUCAGACGCAUGCAGUGGAAAACGUAUUUUCCACUGCAUGCAUCGGAUGAAGUGAGCUGUAGCUCACGAAAGCUUAUGCUCAAAUAAAUUUGUAAGUCUCUAAGGUGCUACAAGUACUCCUUUUCUUUUUGCAGAUACACACUAACACGGCUGCUACUCUGAAACAUCUCUUGCUGUUACCUCUAAAUCAUACUUUUCCACCCUGCUUUAUGAGGAAAGUGCUACUGAGAUGCUGCUUAUCUUGAGCAACAGAUUACUGCAUUGUAGAGCUUGGCUCUACUUCUUGGAGCAAGGGGCCAAAUUACAGUCAUUCUGCAGGGUCCAGGAUCCGUGAGCGUGAGGGCAAAGGAAUGGCAGGGGUUACUGCAUCUUCCUCUGCCCCUCUCCUCCACCCAGCCCGGGGAACUCUUGGAAAAGUUAAUGCAAACCACAGCUGUAUUACCAUGUGACAGCAUUUCCCCAUCACUGGUUGAACCUCGGGGAACCUGGCUCCAUUUGAGCUGUGAUGUUGUUGAGGAGGAGUAGGGAGCCUCCGAGCCUGUGCAGAGGCAAAGGGCUGGGUGACCCUGGUCCUGAGGAACUCGAUAGGGAUUUGGGGAUGGAUCAUUUCCUUGCUUCUUUGCAGGGUAACUGAAUGCGUGGAACCCCCUUCUUGUGCGGUGUUUGGAGAAAACUCCCCAAGAGGAGCCGCAGAGUUGCCCUACCCCACCACAAGUUUCCUUGCAGGAGGACACAAUCUGGUCCAAGUAUAAUCCAAAAUUAGGCUGUGCCAAUCACUCACCAUUUUGACAAGUAAAACUCAUAGAGUCGGACUGGACAUCUCAGAGGGUUAUCUGUGUUUUCAGCCAUUUCCACUGCUGUUGGAACCUCCUCGUCCUCACUCCGUUUCCUUUUUCCUACAGAUAACUUAUCUGGAUACAGGAAAAUGACACCACAUGAGCUCAGUGGAGAACAGUCCUCCUCUGUGAGAGUAAGCUGAAGCUGUUUGGUUUAGUUCUGCACCCUGAUGGGGCUUUGAGCAGCGCAUACAUGACGUGCUGUUUGAUAGGAUCGCUUUUCACGCAAACUGACACUGCCAAGUCAAACACUGGAAACAACUUUGUCAAAUGAAUGCCAUCACUUGUGUCGCUGACAGUUAAAAAGGAGCCCAACAUAAUAGAAAGGAUCUGUUUCUACACAGAUUUAAAUGCUGGAUCAGGAUAAUGUAAUGGCUUAAAAAAUAUUUAGUUUCACCUUGUUAAUGCUGGUUUAUAGGGACUGAUAAGAGCCCUUGCCCCCAUCCACAGCUCAAGUGCUAGAACACCAUCGUACCAGUGCACGGUCAUCCUCGGUGUGCCCGUUCCCCAUCUACCUCAGAGUGUGUACAUCCUUUCAAAGACAGAUCCACUUACCAGCCACUAUCCUUUUCUCCCCCAUCUCCUUCUGCUGCACCUUCAGAGCAGACACCCCCCACUGCUUUUAAUAGUAGUUAUAUAAAAAUGAAAUAAAGAUCUACCACGCAGUA
Molecule: long non-coding RNA, 7812 nt
Organism: Chelonia mydas (Green sea turtle)
Lineage: Eukaryota; Metazoa; Chordata; Testudines; Cheloniidae
Exons: 2
Source: RefSeq, a predicted model, not a curated record